AGUCAACGACGCUUAGCAAUCCGGAGAGAAAUAGGGUGUUUUCUUCCCGAGAGAGGACUGCUAAGAGGGGGUUAAAGGGGGACGAUGUGAAGGAGAGAACCUGUGGUCCUUCAGAAGGCGAAGAAGAAAGAAAGGGGAAGCAGUGAAGAAAGGGACGGAGAUACUGGGACAGGGAGAAAAAAGUUGUGGAGAGUAGCUUUUAAGGAGUCAUUUGGUGGCCAUGGAUCCAACGUGCUCUUCUGAGUGCAUUUAUAACCUCAUACCCAGUGACUUGAAGGAGCCUCCCCAGCCUCCUAGGAUUAUGGUGUCACACCUGAAUACAUAUGUAAGCGAAACGAGGAAAUAAAGAAAGCCCAAGAAGACUAUGAUCGUUAUAUCCAGGAAAACCUUAAGAAAGCAGCUAUGAAAAGGCUCUCCGAUGAAGAAAGGGAGGCAGUUUUGCAGCGCAUGAUACCAACAGCACAACUUUGAAAACUGUUAAGUAUUUUGAACUGGAAAUAGUAACACGUGCCUUCUUGCUACUCUAAACUGUCUCCAACACAUUGUUUCUGAGCUCCACAAAUGCAAAAGAUGUAUUUUCCUGUGGCCCAUGACAUUUGCAGUUAUUCCCAGUGAGAAAUAUUUUCAGUAUUCGUAACACUGUAUAUGAUGAAAGGCUUCUAUUUGGAGGAAGAAAAAUUAAGAAGACAACUUACAAAAUCAAGAUGACAACUUAUAAAGGCAUCAUUGAGGAUGAUUAAGGAGAAUAGCCUCCUUUCUAGCAUACCAACCUCGAUACUCUUAUUUUAUUCCACAACUCACUAUGCAUAUCUUAUUUAAAUGUUUUUUUCCUUUUGGUCCUUUCUACUUAUCUAUUUUGUGAAUUCUAAAGUUACAUUUGUAAGAUUACAUAAUCUAUUAAGCAAUAAGUUUAUGUUAGUAGAGCUGUUUUCAACCCAAAAAUAAGAAAAAAUAGCUCUAAAUAUCUAAAAGGAAAAGGUUAUUUUAUGAAAUUUUAAAUUAGAAAAAUUUGGUAAAAUAUAUGCAACUAUAAAAUAUCAGAGAAAUAACAAUUUCUACUGCUUACACUGGUUUUUAUCCUCUGGACAACAUAAAAAACAAAAUAUGGGAGUCUUUCAGGCUUUUUUCACAAACACAGAAUUUGGAAGCCUUAUAGAAAAGCUUAUUUUGGUUACUUAAAGAAAAGUAGUUUAUAUACAAUUAUUUUUUGAAAAUUCACUUGAAACUUGUCCAUAUGAGUAUCUUUAUUCCUUUAUUAACUUAGGGCAGAUAUAAAAUAAAGGAUAAUAUAUGACAAAUUCUCACUUACCAAGAAUGGUUGGUUGCUAUUUAGGGUAGGCUAACAGCUGUGACAGUACACUCCAAAAUGUAUAAUUACGUAAACACAUAUUCAAUUCUUGCUAACAUAGCAGUACUUUGCUGUGAGCAGGUCAGCAGGAACCCUUUUCUGCAGUCACUCAGGGACCCAGACUUACAGAGUGGGUAGGAUGCAUCUGAUCCAGAGUUAGGGAGAGGCACGUACAGGCCAGGCCUAGAAAUGAUGCAUAUCAUUCCCGUUUGCAUCGCUAAGUAAGCAACUUAAGUUGCUUUAACAAACUAACUCCAAAUCUCAGUUUCCUGAUAAAGAUACAUUUUUCAUUUACAUCACUGUGCAAUGUGACUAAGGGUAGGGGUAUAAGUCUGUUCCAUGCAGUCACUCAGGGACCCAGUCUCCUUUUGUCUGGUGACUCUGUUGAUCCAGGCAGUCUUUCUCUGCCAAUUCAGGAUGAGAUGUUUAGGUAAGUAUUUUAUUUGUGAAAUGAUUGCUAUACAUACUCAUUUUUAAAUAAUUCAAAAUCAGUAGCAAUGCAAAAAUAUUCUGAUUACUUUAGCCUUAUGGAUAUUAUGCUUUGAAGUCAUGAGUGGGAGUUGCCUUAAAUGUUAAAAUGAAAACUUUGUGGUUUUAACAGCUAAUUCUUUUGCUUUCUGUAAAUGUCUACUAAAGAAUCUAGACUUUUCUCUAUGGUCUACAGUGUUGUCCUAGAUGAACAUUGUUGCCUUUCUUUCACAGAGCCUUCAGAGGGAAACAUUCCCAUCCAUUGUUCCUGGAAAGGUGAUCCCUACCACGGGAUCCCAAACUUGGAUAGAGCCAGUUCAACCUCCCCCAAUCCAUACACAUACAUACCUAGGUCAUCCUAUCACCCAAAAGAGGGACAAACAUCUGACUUGGACAGCUGACCAGUGACUGAUCAGAUUCUCUCUCUCUUGAGAGCAUGAAUUAAGAGACAUGGAGACUGCAGUCACUUGGGAGUAGACACCUGAAACUAAAAAGUCAAACUUCAUUAUGCAGCUAGUUUGACUUGGUUUCUCUUCCUGUUCAAAGGAAGAAUGGGUAGAAUAAAGAUUUGAUGUGGUCUGGCCCCUUGUCUAUGAUCUUUUUAGCUUGAUUUCUUGAAAUGCUGCUUCUUCCCUACCCACUGUAACUGGCAUUCCCAUAGUACUGAGGUACUAGAGACCUCUGAGAUCUGCACACAUGGUUCCCUCCACCCAGAAAACUGCCCUUUUCUUUCUCUCAUCCUACAUAGCUGCCUGGCAAAUCCCUAGUCUUCAUCAGCUCACAUCACAUUUCCAUGACAAUCCCCUUUGAUUCCUCAGAAUCUGGCCUUCCUUUAUAGCACUGGUCAUAUUGUAUUGUGCAUAUCUGGUUAUUUGCCUGUUUUCCAUGAACAUUUCAAGCUUAUGGGGGAGAAGACACUGUAUACAUUUUCAUCUGCAUUCCUUAGAAUCUGCAUAACAGCUGGUAUAGAGAAGGUACUCAAAAAAUCCUUAAUGAAUAAAGUAAUGGAUCGUACCCAAACAUGUA
Molecule: long non-coding RNA, 2842 nt
Filed under: Homo sapiens (human)
Lineage: Eukaryota; Metazoa; Chordata; Mammalia; Primates; Hominidae
Description: non-protein coding lnc-ENKUR-2:2
Source: RNAcentral